AGAGUUUGAUCCUGGCUCAGGAUGAACGCUAGCUACAGGCUUAACACAUGCAAGUCGAGGGGCAGCGGGAUUGAAGCUUGCUUCAAUUGCCGGCGACCGGCGCACGGGUGAGUAACGCGUAUCCAACCUUCCGUACACUCAGGGAUAGCCUUUCGAAAGAAAGAUUAAUACCUGAUGGUAUGAUGAGAUUGCAUGAUAGCAUCAUUAAAGAUUUAUCGGUGUACGAUGGGGAUGCGUUCCAUUAGGUAGUAGGCGGGGUAACGGCCCACCUAGCCGACGAUGGAUAGGGGUUCUGAGAGGAAGGUCCCCCACAUUGGAACUGAGACACGGUCCAAACUCCUACGGGAGGCAGCAGUGAGGAAUAUUGGUCAAUGGACGAGAGUCUGAACCAGCCAAGUAGCGUGAAGGAUGAAGGUCCUACGGAUUGUAAACUUCUUUUAUAAGGGAAUAAACCCUCCCACGUGUGGGAGCUUGUAUGUACCUUAUGAAUAAGCAUCGGCUAACUCCGUGCCAGCAGCCGCGGUAAUACGGAGGAUGCGAGCGUUAUCCGGAUUUAUUGGGUUUAAAGGGAGCGCAGACGGGUCGUUAAGUCAGCUGUGAAAGUUUGGGGCUCAACCUUAAAAUUGCAGUUGAUACUGGCGUCCUUGAGUGCGGUUGAGGUGUGCGGAAUUCGUGGUGUAGCGGUGAAAUGCUUAGAUAUCACGAAGAACUCCGAUUGCGAAGGCAGCACACUAAUCCGUAACUGACGUUCAUGCUCGAAAGUGUGGGUAUCAAACAGGAUUAGAUACCCUGGUAGUCCACACGGUAAACGAUGGAUACUCGCUGUUGGCGAUAUACUGUCAGCGGCUUAGCGAAAGCGUU
RNAcentral lists this ribosomal RNA (861 nucleotides) under uncultured bacterium. RNAcentral describes it as "bacterial SSU rRNA". It matches the Rfam family "Bacterial small subunit ribosomal RNA", at positions 8 to 861 of the family's 1533-position model. The record is from RNAcentral.